This 340-nucleotide ribosomal RNA is filed under the name uncultured bacterium. RNAcentral's name for it is "bacterial SSU rRNA". It matches the Rfam family "Bacterial small subunit ribosomal RNA", at positions 32 to 355 of the family's 1533-position model. The record is from RNAcentral.
AAUCAACGCUGGCGGCGUGCCUAACACAUGCAAGUCGAACGCGAAAGCCCCUUCGGGGCGAAGUAGAGUGGCGUCCGGGUGAGUAACACGUGGGUAAUCUACCUCCGGGUGGGGAAUAACUCGCCGAAAGGCGGGCUAAUACCGCAUAAUGCAGCGGCACCGAAUGGUGAUUAGUUGUUAAAGCGGGGACCUUGGGCCUCGCGUCUGGAGAGGAGCCUGCGGCAGAUUAGCUUGUUGGUAGGGAAUGGCCUACCAAGGCUGCGAUCUGUAGCUGGUCUGAGAGGACGGCCAGCCACACUGGCACUGACACACGGGCCAGACUCCUACGGGAGGCAGCAGU